RNAcentral lists this ribosomal RNA (510 nucleotides) under uncultured bacterium. Its description in RNAcentral is "bacterial SSU rRNA". It matches the Rfam family "Bacterial small subunit ribosomal RNA", at positions 8 to 507 of the family's 1533-position model. The record is from RNAcentral.
AGAGUUUGAUCCUGGCUCAGAGUGAACGCUGGCGGCAGGCCUAAUACAUGCAAGUCGAACGGCAGCACAGCAGAGCUUGCUCUGUGGGUGGCGAGUGGCGGACGGGUGAGGAAUACAUGGGAAUCUGCCCAGUCGUGGGGGAUAACGCAGGGAAACUUACGCUAAUACCGCAUGCGCCCUUCGGGGGAAAGCCGGGGACCUUCGGGCCUGGCGCGAUUGGAUGAGCCCAUGUCGGAUUAGCUAGUUGGCGGGGUAACGGCCCACCAAGGCGACGAUCCGUAGCUGGUCUGAGAGGAUGAUCAGCCACACUGGAACUGAGACACGGUCCAGACUCCUACGGGAGGCAGCAGUAGGGAAUAUUGGACAAUGGGCGCAAGCCUGAUCCAGCCAUGCCGCGUGAGUGAAGAAGGCCCUCGGGUUGUAAAGCUCUUUUGUCCGGAAAGAAAAGCGCCGGGUUAAUACCCUGGUGUCCUGACGGUACCGGAAGAAUAAGCACCGGCUAACUUCGUG